UGUGAAGCAGAAUUCACCAA
This 20-nucleotide non-coding RNA is filed under the name Arabidopsis thaliana (thale cress). Lineage: Eukaryota; Viridiplantae; Streptophyta; Magnoliopsida; Brassicales; Brassicaceae. RNAcentral also lists the same sequence under 2 other names. The record is from RNAcentral.